CUUUAGGAACUAAAAAAAAAACCAACACUGCCUCUCCUCCUUUCUCUCACCCCGCAAACCAUCUCCCUGCUCCCUCUCUCUCUUCGCCCCAUCCACCACAGGCCGCAGCCACCGCAGGCCGCAGCCACCAACGAAUGCUUCGAAAGGGUACUGUAGGAUUAAUAUCAGGAGAUAAUGUCCCGGGUUCAGUGUACCAGGUAGCUUCAACUGGUGCUACUGUGAGCUUGAAUUCUGUUGUAGGUCGGCCUCAUCCAUUUUUACUGUUCGCAGCUACCCAGUGAUAGACUGAUAGGUGCAAUUUAUCUUCAUCUUUGAUAUCUAUUGUUAUUGAACUGCGUUUACUAAGAAUAUUUCUUGAGGCCCUUUAUGCAGUUCAAUGCGUCUGGCACAACAGGUUUGUCAAUCUUGAGGUUCACUUUUUAAAUAUCAGCAUUUUUAUUGCCUCGUUUUGGCGAGAUUGUUCUGUCCUUGUGCUGAAUGCCUUUAAUUAUUCAGGCAUUCAGCUCAUAUAUGGUUGCAUUUUAUCUUGGAAUGUCCCAUCAUGCAAUUGACAAUAUUCCAUUUAGCCUUGUGCUGUUCUCCUAAGAAGGCACCAUAAUGUUAUUCCUUCAGAUAUUGCUCAAUAUGCUAGCAUGCUCAAUAUGUUAUUCCUUUUUUUUUAUACACUUUGAAAAAAAAAAACAUUUUCUGCACAACAUUGUCUUAAAAAAGACCUUUAGUUUCCCAUCACUUUUUUUGCUCAUGGCAUGAUGAUACCUAGCAGUUAAGAAAAUUAUUGUAUUCUCAGUUAGUUACGUGUUAUUGGUAUAUGCUAUAAUGUUUUUCAAUGCUUUAAGUCCACUUAAUUGCCUCUCCUUAUUUACUACAAAGUAGUUUGAUCUGGUAUGUCUCUCCUUGUCGAUCUUAUCAUACAUGUUGAUAUAAUAUCAAGUUAUUACACUUGAUAAUAAACCUUUUCAGAGUUCAGACUAAACACAAAACAUAUUUCUGUGUAAGAUAUAAAUUUUGGUUCGUAAUGAUUGCUGAUUUUCAUUUUCUUUACGGCAUUGACCAUUGGUUCUGCUGAAUGUUGUUGCUGAUUUUCAUUUUCUUUACGGCAUUGACCAUUGUGUUUUCAUAUAUCUUAUUUCACAUUUUGCCUUUGUAAUUUGCAAGUCGGGUUGCAGUUGCUCAGUUGUUAGAGCCACAUGUUCAGCUUAGAAUAUCUGUCAUAAAUAAUUAUAGCCUUACCAUUAUUUUUCCAUAAUCCUAUAACUGAAGAAACUGAAUGGGUGUAUAAUGUAUUGUUACCCGUCUCCAUCAAGUUCACUUGAUCAAGUAAUAAUAAAACUGAAAAAAAAGUAAAUCUGGGUAUGAGUAAUUACUAGUGCUAACAGGAAUAGUAUUUUGUCAUACACCCACUAAACUUGGCUACCCUUCCAUGUGAUUAUGUGAAUGUGAGAAUGUCCAUUCACACUCAUUAAGAGUAGUAUAUAUAAUCAAGAAUCCAUUCUUCUUGAGCCAUAAAUCCAUAAUCAUCAUCUAUAACAAAUUAACAAUGGUUGCUUUUAUUUCCAGAACCAUACUUUUGCUAGCAAUAAUCAUAUCAGCAACCCAUUCUGCACCAUCACCAUCACCUGAGGCAAGUUUGUACGUUCAAUAAUUUAUAAUUUUAAUUCAAAUAUUUAAUUAUGAAAAUUUGAGAGUAGUCCAACAAUAUUUUAAGUAAUUACAUACUUCAUAUUAAUAAUGUACAAACUAUAUGAGUAAAACAUAUGGCCAAAGUCAAUCUCGGAUAUCAAUAGUGCAAAGGUCUUAGUAUUGCAACUAAAACAAAUUUGGUAAAAAAAAAAGGGAAAUACUUUGUGAAACAAUUUAAGCUGAAGUUGGGUGCAUAAAAUAGGGAUAAUCAUAUAACUAAUCAUAUAAAUCAUGAAAAAGGUUUAGAAUGUGGAUAUAAGUUCGUUUGUUGGUAGUUGGGAUCGAAAAUGCCAUUUUUGGCCAUAAAUUUCCUAUAUCGACCCAAAUGACCCAUAGGCGUGCAUAACGAACUUGAAAUGAGUCUUAUAAUCAUAUAACUAAUCAUAUAAAUCAUGAAAAAGGUUUAGAAUGUGGAUAUAAGUUCGUUUGUUGGUAGUUGGGAUCGAAAAUGUCAUUUUUUGCCAUAAAUGACCUAUAUCGACCCAAAUGGCCAAUAGGUGUGCAUAACGAAAUAGUAAUGAGUCUUAUAAACAUAUAAUUAAUCAUAUGAAUCAUGAAAAACAUUUAGAAUAUGGAAAUAGGUUCGUUUGUUGGUAGUUGUGAUCGAAAAUGCCAGUUUUUUCCAUAAAUGACCUAUAUCGACCCAAAUGACCCUUAAGCUUGCUUAACGAACUUGAAAUGAGUUUCAUAAACAUAUAACUAAUCAUAUGAAUCAUGAAAAAGGGUUAGAGUGUGGAAAUAGGUUCGUUUGUUGGUAGUUGGGAUCAAAAAUGCCAUUUUUUUGCCAUAAAUGAACUAUAUCGACCCAAAUGACCUAUAGGCAUGCAUAAUGAACUUGAAAUUAGCCUUAUAAUCAUAUUACUAAUCAUAUGAAUCAUGAAAAAUGUUUAGAAUAUGGAAAUAGGUUCAUUUGUUGGUAGUUGGGAUCGAAAAUGCCAUUUUUGACCAUAAAUGACCUAUAUCGACCCAAAUGAACCAUAGGCGUGCAUAACGAACUUAAAAUGAGUCUUAUAAUCAUAUAACUAAUCAUAUGAAUAAUGAAAAACGUUUAGAAUGUGGAAAUAGGUUCGUUUGUUGGUAGUUGGGAUCGAAAAUGCCAUUUUGGACCAUAAAUAACCUAUAUCGACCUAAAUGAACCAUAGGCGUGCAUAACGAACUUGAAAUGAGUCUUAUAAUCAUAUAACUAAUCAUCUAAAUCAUGAAAAAGUUUCAUACUGUGGAUAUAAGUUCGUUUGUUCGUAGUUGGGAUCGAAAAUGCCAUUUUUAGCCAUAAAUGACCUAUAUCGACCCAAAUGACCAAUAGCAUGCAUAACGUAUUUGAAAUGAGUCUUAUAAUCAUCUGACUAAUAAUAUAAAUCAUGAAAAAGGGUUAGAAUGUGGAAAGAGGUUCGUUUGUUGGUAGUUGAGUUCAAAAAUGUCAUUUUUGGCCAAUAUAAUUGUUUUCGCGAACAAUAUAAUUUUUGUUUUCGCAUAUGAAACUUAAUUUAAUUUAUUGGUUUGCAUGUACGGUGUUCUUUUAAAGGUUUUCAAAACUCCAAGGGAGGGGCCCUUUACCAAAAAGGAGUUGGAUGAAACUCGAGACAAGUGGGCUAUUUACUUCAACGAUUUUGAACUACCCUCAGUGUAAUAAAUAGAGAAGGCUUGUAGUUAUUCGUGACUCUUACAUUAUUUUGUUAUUUAUCGUUUUAAUUAAUUACAUUUUAAUUAAUUCGGUAAUAUUAUUGGAAAUUUGAAAUUUAUAUCAUUUUUGAGAAUGUCAAGCUGAUGUUUGAUGAAACAGAAAUUAUAUUGCAAAAUCAGAAAUUAUAUUGCAGAAUAUUUGGAAUUA
This is a long non-coding RNA of Spinacia oleracea (spinach), 3508 nucleotides long. RefSeq lists it as uncharacterized. The record is from RefSeq and is a predicted model, not a curated record. Lineage: Eukaryota; Viridiplantae; Streptophyta; Magnoliopsida; Caryophyllales; Amaranthaceae. The transcript has 2 exons.